RNAcentral lists this ribosomal RNA (173 nucleotides) under Bifidobacterium longum subsp. suillum. Its description in RNAcentral is "partial 23S ribosomal RNA". It matches the Rfam family "Bacterial large subunit ribosomal RNA", at positions 2749 to 2925 of the family's 2925-position model. The record is from RNAcentral. Lineage: Bacteria; Bacillati; Actinomycetota; Actinomycetes; Bifidobacteriales; Bifidobacteriaceae.
CUACGUUCGGAAGGGAUAACCGCUGAAAGCAUCUAAGCGGGAAGCCUGCUCCAAGAUAAGCAUUCCGUGCAGCCUCGAGCUGCUGUAGUCCCCAUGCAGAACACGUGGUCGAUAGGCCGGACGUGGAAGCCCCGCGAGGGGUGGAGCCGACCGGUACUAACGGACGAAAGGCA